AUAACCUGCCAGACAGGGAAACUGCGUACGGCUCAUUACACCAGCCUUAAUUUACUUGACCUUGACAACCUACUUGGAUAACUGUGGUAAUUCUAGAGCUAAUACAUGCACCAAAGCUCCGAUCCUCGCGGAGAGGAGCGCAUUUGUUCGCCACAAAACCAAGCGCCCAUCUGGGCGUCCAGUGCUGAACCAGAACAACUCAGCUGAUCGCACGGUCUUGUACCGGCGACGUGUCUUUCAAGUGUCUGCCUUAUCAACUUUCGAUGGUAGUGUACCUGACUACCAUGGUUGUGACGGGUAACGGAGGAUAAGGGUUCGACUCCGGAGAAGGGGCCUGAGAAAUGGCCACUACGUCUAAGGAUGGCAGCAGGCGCGCAAAUUACCCACUCUCAACGCGAGGAGGUAGUGACGAGAAAUAACGAGACCGUUCUCAUACGAGGCCGGUUAUUGGAAUGGGUACAAUUUAAA
Molecule: ribosomal RNA, 468 nt
Filed under: unidentified nematode Sourhope farm
Lineage: Eukaryota; Metazoa; Nematoda
Description: SSU rRNA
Rfam family: Eukaryotic small subunit ribosomal RNA
Source: RNAcentral